Molecule: transfer RNA, 87 nt
Filed under: Coxiella burnetii RSA 331
Lineage: Bacteria; Pseudomonadati; Pseudomonadota; Gammaproteobacteria; Legionellales; Coxiellaceae
Also listed under: 1 other name
Description: tRNA-Tyr
Rfam family: tRNA
About the family: Transfer RNA (tRNA) molecules are approximately 80 nucleotides in length. Their secondary structure includes four short double-helical elements and three loops (D, anti-codon, and T loops). Further hydrogen bonds mediate the characteristic L-shaped molecular structure. tRNAs have two regions of fundamental functional importance: the anti-codon, which is responsible for specific mRNA codon recognition, and the 3' end, to which the tRNAs corresponding amino acid is attached (by aminoacyl-tRNA synthetases). tRNAs cope with the degeneracy of the genetic code in two manners: having more than one tRNA (with a specific anti-codon) for a particular amino acid; and 'wobble' base-pairing, i.e. permitting non-standard base-pairing at the 3rd anti-codon position.
Source: RNAcentral
UGGAGGGGUUCCCGAGUGGCCAAAGGGAUCAGACUGUAAAUCUGACGGCUCAGCCUUCGUAGGUUCGAAUCCUACCCCCUCCACAUC